CAAUAGCGUAUAUUAAAGUUGUUGCAGUUAAAAAGCUCGUAGUUGGAUUUCUGGUGGGAGCGAUCGGUCUGGCGCUUAGCGCGAGUACUUGCAUCGUCUCCGGCCAUCCUUGGGGAGAGUCUGUCUGGCAUUAGGUUGUCGGGCAGAGGAUCCUCAUCGUUUACUGUGAAAAAAUUAGAGUGUUCAAAGCAGGCUUAUGCCGUUGAAUAUAUUGGCAUGGAAUAAUAAGAUAGGACUUUGGUACUAUUUUGUUGGUUUGCGCACCAAAGUAAUGAUUAAUAGGGACAGUUGGGGGUAUUCGUAUUCCGUUGUCAGAGGUGAAAUUCUUGGAUUUACGGAAGACGAACUACUGCGAAAGCAUUUACCAAGGAUGUUUUCAUUAA
RNAcentral lists this ribosomal RNA (383 nucleotides) under uncultured eukaryote. RNAcentral's name for it is "partial 18S ribosomal RNA". It matches the Rfam family "Eukaryotic small subunit ribosomal RNA", at positions 592 to 976 of the family's 1831-position model. The record is from RNAcentral.